Molecule: long non-coding RNA, 562 nt
Organism: Oncorhynchus keta (chum salmon)
Lineage: Eukaryota; Metazoa; Chordata; Actinopteri; Salmoniformes; Salmonidae
Exons: 3
Source: RefSeq, a predicted model, not a curated record
UUUGGGGUACCAGUAGGGGUUAGAGAACAGGUCAGUUUGGGGUACCAGUAGAGAAGUAGAGAACAGGUCAGAUUGGGGUACCAGUAGGGGUUAGAGAACAGGUCAGUUUGGGGUACCAGUAGAGAGGUAGAGACAGGUCAGUUUGGGGUACCAGUAGGGGUUAGAGAACAGGUCAGUUUGGGGUACCAGUAGAGAGGUAGAGACAGGUCAGUUUGGGGUACCAGUAGGGGUUAGAGAACAGGUCAGUUUGGGGUACCAGUAGGGAGGUAGAGAACAGGUCAGUUUGGGGUACCAGUAGAGAGGUAGAGACAGGUCAGUUUGGGGUACCAGUAGGGGUUAGAGAACAGGUCAGUUUGGGGUACCAGUAGAGAAGUAGAGAACAGGUCAGAUUGGGGUACCAGUAGGGGUUAGAGAACAGGUCAGUUUGGGGUACCAGUAGAGAGGUAGAGACAGGUCAGUUUGGGGUACCAGUAGGGGUUAGAGAACAGGUCAGUUUGGGGUACCAGUAGGGAGGUAGAGAACAGGUCAGUUUGGGGUACCAGUAGGGGUUAGAGAACAGGUC